RNAcentral lists this transfer RNA (60 nucleotides) under Protobothrops elegans. Its description in RNAcentral is "tRNA-Gly". Lineage: Eukaryota; Metazoa; Chordata; Lepidosauria; Squamata; Viperidae. The record is from RNAcentral.
AUUUCUUUAGUAUACAAGUAUAAAUGCCCUCCAAGCAUAAGGCCCUACAGGGAAGAAAUA